Molecule: ribosomal RNA, 2960 nt
Filed under: human gut metagenome
Description: bacterial LSU rRNA
Rfam family: Bacterial large subunit ribosomal RNA
Source: RNAcentral
CGGGCGCACGGCGGAUGCCUUGGCACAGGGAGCCGAUGAAGGACGCGGCAAGCUGCGAUAAUCCCCGGCGAGGAGCACACAUCCUUCGACCCGGGGGUCUCCGAAUGGGCGAACCCAUCCACAGCAGUGUGGAUAUCCCCCCGCUGAACGCAUAGGCGGGGGGAGGACAACCCGGGGAACUGAAACAUCUAAGUACCCGGAGGAGAGGAAAUCAAUCUCGAGACUCCCCGAGUAGCGGCGAGCGAAAGGGGACCGAUGGCCAAACCGUCGAGCGGGCAUACCCGGCAGGGGUUCCGCCGACGGGGUUGCAGGGCCGCGCAUCCGGGGGCUGCCGCCCCCGGGCGCAGGUCCGGCUGGGGAGCGGAACGGCAUGGGAGGGCCGGCCGCAGCGGGUGACAGCCCCGUACGCGAACCCAGACCGGACGGCGCGACGCGGUCCCUGAGUAGGGCCGGGCACGUGAAACCCGGUCCGAAUCUGGGUGGACCACCAUCCAAGCCUGAGUACUACCCUGUGACCGAUAGCGCACCAGUACCGUGAGGGAAAGGUGAAAAGCACCCCGGGAGGGGAGUGAAACAGUACCUGAAACCGUGCGCCCACGAGCAGUCGGAGCACCUAUAUGGUGUGACGGCGUGCCUUUUGUAGAAUGAGCCAGCGAGUCGCUGGCGCGGGGCGAGGUUAACCGAAAGGGAGCCGGAGCGAAAGCGAGCCUUAACAGGGCGACUUGAGUCCCGCGCCGCGGACGCGAAGCCGGGUGAGCUAUCCGUGGGCAGGCUGAAGCGGGGGUAAGACCCCGUGGAGGGCCGAACGCACGUCGGUUGAAAACGGCGGCGAUGACCUGCGGAUAGGGGUGAAAGGCCAAUCAAACCCGGAGAUAUCUCGUUCUCCCCGAAAUAGCUUUAGGGCUAGCGUCGCGCGUUCACCGCCGGAGGUAGAGCACCGGAUGGACGAGGGGGCUUCGCCGCCUACCGAAUCCAACCGAACUCCGAAUGCCGGCGGCCCAGAGCGCGGCAGUCAGAGCAUGUGGGCUAAGCUGUGUGCUCGAGAGGGAAACAGCCCGGACCGCCCGCUAAGGUCCCCAAGUUCCAGCCGAGUGGCAAAGGAUGUGCGUCCGCCCAGACAACCAGGAUGUUGGCUUAGAAGCAGCCAUCCAUUCAAAGAGUGCGUAACAGCUCACUGGUCGAGUGGACAUGCGCCGACAAUACACGGGGCUAAGCUGGACACCGAAGCGGCGGGAUUUUAUCUAUAUAGAAUCGGUAGGGGAGCUUCCCAUGGGCGGUGAAGCCGCCGGGCGACCGGCGGUGGAGCGCAUGGGAGUGAGAAUGCUGGCAUGAGUAGCGAGAGACGAGAGAGUAACUCGUCCGCCGUGAACCCGAGGUUUCCUGGGCAAGGCUAAUCCUCCCAGGGUCAGUCGGGGGCUAAGGCGAGGCCGGAAGGCGUAGCCGACGCGCAGCAGGCAGACAUUCCUGCACCGCGCACGCGGCGCUACGACCGACGGGGCGACGGAUGGGGGUGGCUCGGCGGGGUUCUGGACGUCCCCGUGAUGGAGCGCGGCCCGCGGACCAGGGAAAUCCGGUCCGCACGAGGGCGAGGCUCCGGACGAAGCGAUCAAGCGAAGCGAGUGAGCCCGAGGUCCCUAGAAAAACCCCUAGGCAGGCGCGUGCGCGCCCGUACCGCAAACCGACACAGGUGGGUGGGUAGAACAUACCGAGGCGAUCGGGUCAACCAUGGUCAAGGAACUCGGCAAAAUGGCCCCGUAACUUCGGGAGAAGGGGUGCCCGCGCGUACGUGAACCGGCUUGCCCGGGGAGCGGAGGCGGGCCGCAGUGGAGAGGCCCAAGCGACUGUUUACCAAAAACACAGGACUCUGCAGAAGCCGCAAGGCGACGUAUAGGGUCUGACGCCUGCCCGGUGCCGGAAGGUCACGCGGAGGAGUUAGCUUUCGAGCGAAGCCCCGAAGCCAAGCCCCGGUAAACGGCGGCCGUAACUAUAACGGUCCUAAGGUAGCGAAAUUCCUUGUCGGGUAAGUUCCGACCUGCACGAAAGGCGCAACGACUUGGGCGCUGUCUCGACCAUGGACCCGGUGAAAUUGCACUGGUCGUGAAGAUGCGACUUACCCGCGGAAGGACGGAAAGACCCCGUGAACCUUCACUGCAGCUUGGCAUUGGCCGCUGGUCCCGCGUGUAGAGGAUAGGCAGGAGGCACAGAUCCGGAGGCGCCAGCCCCCGGGGAGCCGCCCUUGGAAUACUGCCCUCGCGCGACCGGCGUCCUAACCCGAGGCCGUCAACCGGCUCGGGGACCGUGCCAGGCGGGCAGUUUGACUGGGGCGGUCGCCUCCUAAAGGGUAACGGAGGCGCGCGAAGGUCCGCUCGGGACGGUCGGCAACCGUCCUUUUGAAUGCAAGAGUACAAGCGGGCUUGACUGCGAGGCCCACAAGCCGAGCAGGUGCGAAAGCAGGCUCUAGUGAUCCGGCGGCCCCGAGUGGGUGGGCCGUCGCUCAACGGAUAAAAGGUACUCCGGGGAUAACAGGCUGAUCUCCCCCAAGAGUCCACAUCGACGGCAAGGUUUGGCACCUCGAUGUCGGCUCAUCGCAUCCUGGGGCUGGAGCAGGUCCCAAGGGUACGGCUGUUCGCCGUUUAAAGCGGUACGCGAGCUGGGUUCAGAACGUCGUGAGACAGUUCGGUCCCUAUCCUCCGUGGGCGCAGGAGAAUCGAUGGAGGCUGCCCCCAGUACGAGAGGACCGGGGUGGACGCACCUCCGGUGAACCGGUUGUCGACCAACGGCACGGCCGGGUAGCCGCGUGCGGCGCGGAUAACCGCUGAAGGCAUCUAAGCGGGAAGCCGUUCCAGGGAUUAGUUCUCCUUCCGGUAAGGGCCCAGGUAGACUACCUGGUCGAUAGACGGCAGGUGCAAGGCUGGCGACAGCCUCAGCCGAGCCGCACUAAUCGCCCGAGCUCUUCCGGA